CCAGCAGCCGCGGUAAUUCCAGCUCUAAUAGCGUAUAUUAAAGUUGUUGCAGUUAAAAAGCUUGUAGUCGGAUGUCGGGCUCGGGCAGGCUGUCGGCUUCGGUCGGACGGCAGGCUCGGGUCUUUCUGCCUGAGGAACCCGUGGCACUUAACUGUGCGGCGUGGGGACGCAGGCCGUUUACUUUGAAAAAAUUAGAGUGUUCAAAGCAGGCUUACGCUUGAAUACAUUAGCAUGGAAUAAUGGAAUAGGACUUUGGUUCUAUUUUGUUGGUUCUAGGACCGAAGUAAUGAUUAAUAGGGAUAGUUGGGGGCAUUCGUAUUUAAUUGUCAGAGGCGAAAUUCUUGGACUUAUGAAAGACGAACAUCUGCGAAAGCAUUUGCCAAGGAUGUUUUCAUUGAUCACG
This 403-nucleotide ribosomal RNA is filed under the name uncultured eukaryote. RNAcentral describes it as "SSU rRNA". It matches the Rfam family "Eukaryotic small subunit ribosomal RNA", at positions 567 to 981 of the family's 1831-position model. The record is from RNAcentral.